Felis catus (domestic cat) is the source of this 1458-nucleotide long non-coding RNA. RefSeq lists it as uncharacterized. The record is from RefSeq and is a predicted model, not a curated record. NCBI's taxonomy places the organism in Eukaryota, Metazoa, Chordata, Mammalia, Carnivora, Felidae. The transcript is spliced from 4 exons.
GCCCGCCCGCCCGCGCGCGCCGGCGCCCCCUCCCCGCCACGUGACCGGCGGCUCAGCACGACCCGCGAUUUGCACCCCCGCUACGCGGCGCGGACGGAGCCGCAGGGCUCCUCUGCGGAGCUCGCCCCUCAGGUCCUCAGUCCAAGGAGCUCGCGGUGACUUACACGCGUGCGGGACGCCGGCGCCGGCCUACCCCUCAGUCUCUGGCAGAGAAAAGGGAAAAGCCGCGAAGGACGGAUGGGGCGUACCCCCGGGGGCCUGACUCAGAGCCUGCCCUGUGGUAUUUGGUGGAUGGUGGUGGUUAAACACAGGAACCCGGAAAGAAGAGCGGCUCAGAGGGUGGCGACCCCCGUCUCUAGGGGGAAGAGGCUGAUAGACUGGAUGAUGCAUGGGUAAUCUGCUGUUGGCCAGCUUGUUAAGUGAGCAAAACUUCUGAAGAUUUUAAGGUGUGACCACAUCAUGCAUGAAACAGCCCAGACGUGCUUCAACCAUAACAUGGGAGUACAUGAUUCAGACUAUGUCGGCAACAUAGCUCACUUACGGAAUCCAGUAGAAUGAGAGACAGAUGGACUCCAAGAGUCAUUGGGGAGAACUCUUCAUCACUGCAGCCAUGCACCUAAACCUAAACAGGUUUUUCUGUCAAGAAUCUAGGGAAAUCCCAUCCCAUCUCCCCAAAUUUGCAGAUAACAUCACUAAGGUUUUUUUUACCUGACAAGUACUAUAAAGCUGAGAUUGUGCUCACUUUGGUAGCACAUAUACUAAAGAAAAGCUGAGAUUUUUUUUUUAACGUUUAUUUAUUUUGAGAGUGAGAGAGAGUGGGGAAGGUCCAGAGAAAGAGAGAGAGAGAAUCCCAAGCAGGCUCUGCCAUCAGUGCAGAGCCUGACAUGGGGCUCAGUCCCAUGAACCGUGAAGUCACGACCUGAGCCUGAAAACAAGAGUUGGACACUUAACCAACUGAGCCACCUAGGCGCCCCUAUUAAGCUGAGAUUUAAACCUAGGUCUAUUUUACUUAGCCUGUGUUAAAUACUAGGCAUUUUCAUUUUAUUUUGUUCAAAAUCCUGAGGUCAUAGAGAAGAAUAGAAGGGUAGUGAUGAGGUGGAUAAUAGGAGGCAGAAAACGCAGGGUUGUUUUAAAGUCUCAACCCUGAGCCUUCUAUCUUUUGUACGCUGUUUCUUCAUAGAAGACACUUUCUCCUACCUGGUAACUUGUGUACAGGACAACAUGGAAAUACAGGAGAGGCAGAUAGACCAACAAGGGAGUAAUUUUAGUAAUUCUAUUAUAUAAUUCAAACCUCCUUGUAAUGCAAUUUAGCUUCCCCACUGAUUGUGAAUUAAUCAGGUUUCAUAAUUAUAUUUAUAAUCAGGUUCUUUCUAUGUAAUUAUUGUUUGUACUUGAGCAAAUUGCUUAGGAAGGCCACCUCCAAAUCCAAAUUAAAUGUUUCAUUUCCUAUUUCCUUUA